RNAcentral lists this ribosomal RNA (594 nucleotides) under Triticum aestivum (bread wheat). RNAcentral's name for it is "partial small subunit ribosomal RNA". Lineage: Eukaryota; Viridiplantae; Streptophyta; Magnoliopsida; Poales; Poaceae. The record is from RNAcentral.
CUUGCUUUCUGCUAGCGGUCUGGGGGCUCCCGGUUUUGGCAAUCCGUCAUCGAGCUCCUUCCAGUCCUCCGGAUCAGGACAUCAAUCGAGGUUGGAUCCGGCACUGCCACACUAUUCUGGUUCGAUGGAUGGACUGGCGACUUGCCCCUCGCGGCCCGCUUUUCCGACCUAUUCUCCAUAGCGGUUGCCCCACAAAACUCUGUCGCGACAGCCCUUAUUGACUUGGGGCAACUUGCGUUCCGGAGACCUUUUGGCCCAGCCGAGACCACAGACUGGCGGGAGCUGCUCGACUGCAUUGCCUUGCACGAGCCAGAUCUUACGACCGAAGAUGACCGAUCUAGUUGGUGACUAGAGCCUUCUGGACAAUUCUCCACCAACUCUCUCUACCAGGCCAUCGCCCCCUCGCCUGGACAUGAGGCGCUCACCUCCAUCUGGGAGAUUCGCCUUCCUCUGAAAAUUAGGAUCUUCUUGUGGCAAUGGAUUCGCAGUCGCCUCCUGUCCGGCGUGGAGGUCCUGAAGCGCAAUGGCCCUGGUGAUGGGCGAUGCCCGCUCUGCGGGCCGGAAGAGGAUUCGAACGAUAUCUUCUUCACCUAA